RNAcentral lists this long non-coding RNA (351 nucleotides) under Panax ginseng (ginseng). Its description in RNAcentral is "long non-coding RNA (PGIN_LNC006228)". The record is from RNAcentral. Lineage: Eukaryota; Viridiplantae; Streptophyta; Magnoliopsida; Apiales; Araliaceae.
UCCUGAUAGCACGCUCUCCUAAAUAGAGCUCCUAUACUCCAUCUGUGAAGAGAGGAAUCCUGCGGGUGGAUAUGACGUACUCUACUCCAGUCGGGUACCCAUCCUCAAAGCCAACUCCCAAAUUCUCUCCAGAGUAGGGAAUCCACGUGAUGACAUCCGCUGUCAAUAGCUCCAACUGUAGGCGACAAUGAGUAAAACCCUCAGCACCUGCGCUGGUAUGGAAUGAUGCCAUCUCCGUCCUCGUGGAUAGGUGUCUAAACCUAACAUUCUCACAGGACGCAAAUAAGGGAGCCUCUCAUAGGCCCAAAACUGCCAACACAAAGGCAAACAUUUGUUGUCAGUCAACACUCU